RNAcentral lists this ribosomal RNA (497 nucleotides) under uncultured bacterium. Its description in RNAcentral is "partial 16S ribosomal RNA". It matches the Rfam family "Bacterial small subunit ribosomal RNA", at positions 28 to 507 of the family's 1533-position model. The record is from RNAcentral.
GAUGAACGCUGGCGGCGUGCCUAAUACAUGCAAGUCGAGCGAACAGACGAGGAGCUUGCUCCUCUGACGUUAGCGGCGGACGGGUGAGUAACACGUGGAUAACCUACCUAUAAGACUGGGAUAACUUCGGGAAACCGGAGCUAAUACCGGAUAAUAUAUUGAACCGCAUGGUUCAAUAGUGAAAGGCGGUUUUGCUGUCACUUAUAGAUGGAUCCGCGCCGCAUUAGCUAGUUGGUAAGGUAACGGCUUACCAAGGCAACGAUGCGUAGCCGACCUGAGAGGGUGAUCGGCCACACUGGAACUGAGACACGAUCCAGACUCCUACGGGAGGCAGCAGUAGGGAAUCUUCCGCAAUGGGCGAAAGCCUGACGGAGCAACGCCGCGUGAGUGAUGAAGGUCUUCGGAUCGUAAAACUCUGUUAUUAGGGAAGAACAAAUGUGUAAGUAACUAUGCACGUCUUGACGGUACCUAAUCAGAAAGCCACGGCUAACUACGUG